CCCACUGCCCAUUCCUCUCAUAUUGGCACAUCUGCUGUCCAUUGGGGGUUCUCAGUUUCCUCCCCCAGACAGCCCUACCUGUGCCAGAGAGCUAGAAAGAAGGUCAUAAAGGGUUAAAAAUCCAUAACUAAAGGUUGUACACAUAGAUGGGCACACUCACAGAGAGAAGUGUGCAUGUACACACACCACACACACACACACACACACACACACACACACACACAGAAAUAUAAACACAUGCGUCACAUGGGCAUUUCAGAUGAUCAGCUCUGUAUCUGGUUAAGUCGGUUGCUGGGAUGCACCCUGCACUAGAGCUGAAAGGAAAUUUGACCUCCAAGCAGCCCUGACAGGUUCUGGGCCCGGGCCCUCCCUUUGUGCUUUGUCUCUGCAGUUCUUGCGCCCUUUAUAAGGCCAUCCUAGUCCCUGCUGGCUGGCAGGGGGCUGGAUGGGGGGCAGGACUAAUACUGAGUGAUUGCAGAGUGCUUUAUAAAUAUCACCUUAUUUUAUCGAAACCCAUCUGUGAAACUUUCACUGAGGAAAAGGCCUUGCAGCGGUAGAAGAGGUUGAGUCAGCAGGGACUUGGGUUCCCUGUGUGUGAGGGGGGCAUUCUUGCCUGCCAGCUGCUCCCGAGGUGGCCUUGAGAAGGAAGAAGCAGGAUGACAGAGCCUGAGCAGCGGAACCAGCCUGCACCCUCCCUUCUGGCCCAGCGACCUGGGCUGUGGCUGAGACAAUAAUGAGGCCAGAAGUAGCCGGAGCCUGUCAGGAAGGGCAGGGGAGGACUGUGGGGUCUGGGCUCUGUCGCUGUAACCAUCUGCUCCCAGGCUGUGUGCAGAAAAUGGCAUUUACACUAUUGUGCAGCUCAUUCUC
This 867-nucleotide long non-coding RNA is filed under the name Homo sapiens (human). Its description in RNAcentral is "non-protein coding lnc-SMURF1-2:1". The record is from RNAcentral. Lineage: Eukaryota; Metazoa; Chordata; Mammalia; Primates; Hominidae.